Hippocampus comes (tiger tail seahorse) is the source of this 1489-nucleotide long non-coding RNA. RefSeq lists it as uncharacterized. NCBI's taxonomy places the organism in Eukaryota, Metazoa, Chordata, Actinopteri, Syngnathiformes, Syngnathidae. The record is from RefSeq and is a predicted model, not a curated record. The transcript has 8 exons.
AAAACGGAUGACGUCAUCAACCGGAGCCUAUUUAAGGUGCGACUAAUUGCCGGAGCGUUCUCUCUCCACUUGGCUGCCAGACUCCGGUCGGUCGACACCGUCCGAUUGCUGCUCUCCACGCAUUUUGACGAAGCAUUUUUAAGAAAAACUCAGCUUGGCAGAAGGUCAUCGAGGAGGUGUCCAGUUCUUGUCACAAGUGAGGAAAAAAAAAAAACACUCACACGCAUUUAAAUUCAACUUUUUUUUUUUUUUUCUCCCCCCCAACACACACCUCACGGUUGAGGCUUUCACCAAGGUCGGGCCUCUGUUGCAGUUUUCCUCUGACGGGCUUUUUGAGUGCGCAAUCACCGCAGCUGGUUGAACAAGAUGGUGGCGUUCGAGGAAGGCCUUUUGGUUGGACACUGCAAAACAAUGGCUGACCAACGCUUUGAAUUUUUUUUUGUCUUGCACCCCCCCAAAAAAUUAAAAUAAAAACUUGAACCCCUCUAAAUAGGGUACUGAACCUUCCACAAGUUCACGUUGGUUUCUUCUCUUGUCCACCAUGUAGCGCCACAGCAUCACAAAUCCUGGGAACCUGUCCAGCAACGACUUUUUCAAGGCUGAUCCAAAAUGGUGGGGAAAAGGCAUUAAAUUCCGAGGGCGGCUUCCAGUCCAAUUGACGUGGUGGACAAUCCUGCCCCCCGCCCCCACACCCAAAAAAUUCAACCACAGUAUGUACUCAACGAGAUAGUUAACCUUCCUUCCACAAGCUCACGUUGGUCUCCCUUAUGCUCUUGUCCGCUAGGUGGCGCCAAAGCAGCACAUGUCCUGUGAUCUUGUCGAGCAACGACUCUUUUUCGUCAAUGCUGAUCAUCACUGGUUUGGAACAAUUUUAGCAAUUUAUUCUUGACAAAUACUUGGACUAGUGCUUGGCUUUUUUUCCCUUUGCAGAUGGGGGGAAAAUAAGCUGUGAAAUUGCGACGUCAGCUGCAAACGAGCACUCACCUGUUUCCAAUUUUCUUUUGACUUUGUGUGCAAGGUGGCUUCCGGUCCAAUCGGCAUGGUGGUGGACAACCUUGACUGAAGAAAAUGGAACUGCUGGGGGGCAAAAGAGGUCAAGUUUUCAAAUUGACAGUGUCCAUGUUCCUCAAGGUGAAGAAAAACUUUGGUGCUAAACCACAUGAUCAUCUUCCAGCCAUCCACUCUGCCAACUUGCUGACCGCCUACCUCACUCUGGGUUUCCAUCUUGCGCCAUUUGCUGCACAACAAGGUGCUGAAAAAGGCAAUCAUCUUCCAGCCGUCCACUCUGCCAACUUGCUGACGUCUACUUCCUCUCCCUCACUGUGUUACCAUUUGCUGCACAACAAGGAGAGCUAACUAAUGGUCUUGCAGGCGUCCAGGCUGUCCUCUUCGGCUGACCACUUCUCAGACUCAUCGGUCCUCCUGCUUGUUACUUAAAUGUUUGCCACUUGAACUCUGCAAAAUGAAAUAAAGCUUGUUACAAAUGCAA